This 277-nucleotide ribosomal RNA is filed under the name uncultured Prevotella sp. Its description in RNAcentral is "partial 16S ribosomal RNA". It matches the Rfam family "Bacterial small subunit ribosomal RNA", at positions 79 to 355 of the family's 1533-position model. The record is from RNAcentral. Lineage: Bacteria; Pseudomonadati; Bacteroidota; Bacteroidia; Bacteroidales; Prevotellaceae.
CUUUCCUUGAUGACGACUGGCGCACGGGUGAGUAACGCGUAUCCAACCUUCCCAUAACUACGGAAUAACCCGUUGAAAGACGGCCUAAUACCGUAUGAUAUCGUUUGCUGACAUCAAAUAACGAUUAAAGGUUUAGCGGUUAUGGAUGGGGAUGCGUCUGAUUAGCUUGUUGGUGGGGUAACGGCCCACCAAGGCUACGAUCAGUAGGGGUUCUGAGAGGAAGGUCCCCCACAUUGGAACUGAGACACGGUCCAAACUCCUACGGGAGGCAGCAGCC